Molecule: RNA transcript, 2966 nt
Organism: Oncorhynchus keta (chum salmon)
Lineage: Eukaryota; Metazoa; Chordata; Actinopteri; Salmoniformes; Salmonidae
Gene name: nuclear transcription factor Y subunit beta-like
Exons: 2
Source: RefSeq, a predicted model, not a curated record
CAAAACCUUAACCUAUAGGGGAGGGUCUGGGUGGUGUUCUUGGGGGCAUAGGCAGCAUUCCUCCUCCAAACACGGAGAGUUGAGUUGGUGCCAAAUAGCUCCAUUUUGGUCUCAUCUGACCACAACACUUUCACCCAGUUGUCCUCUGAAUCAUUCAGAUGUUCAUUGGCAAACUUCAGACGGGCAUGUAUAUGUGCUUUCUUGACCUUGCGGGCUUUGCAGGAUUUCAGUCCUUCACGGCGUAGUGUGUUACCAAUUGUUUUCUUGGUGACUAUGGUCCAAGCUGUCUUGAGAUCAUUGACAAGAUCAUCCCGUGUAGUUCUGGGCUGAUUCCUCACUGUUCUCAUGAUCAUUGCAACUCCACGAGGUGAGAUCUUACAUGGAGCCCCAGGCUGUGGGAGAUUGACAGUUCUUUUGUGUUUCUUCCAUUUGCGAAUAAUCGCACCAACUGUUGUCACCUUCUCACCAAGCUACUUGCCGAUGGUCUUGUAGCCCAUUCCAUUCUUGUGUAGGUCUACAAUCUUGUUCCGGACAUCCUUGGAGAGCUCUUUGGUCUUGGCCAUGGUGGCGAGUUUGGAAUCUGAUUGAUUGGUUGCUUCUGUGGACAGGUGUCUUUUAUACAGGUAACAAGCUGAGAUUAGGAACACUCCCUUUAAGAGUGUGCUCCUAAUCUCAGCUAGUUACCUGUAUAAAAGACACCUGGGAGCCAGAAAUCUUUCUGAUUGAGAGGGGGUCAAAUACUUAUUUCCCUCAUUAAAAUGCAAAUCAAUUUAUAACAUUUUUGACAAUUUUCUGGGUUCCCCUAGGGGAUUGCCUUGCCAUAACAGGUUUUAAGGGGAAGGGAUCUAAGGGAGAAGGGAAAAAUGGACAGGAUCAGACAAUAGAAAGUGUUUCAAUUGCGAUAAGACAGGACAUUUCACCAGGGAGUGUAAGGCUCCCUGUAAACAUUGUGACCGAGUAGGGCACAGCCACCGAAACUGCAAACAUAAGGGGAAGAACAGGCGCAACAACCGGGAGAGAAAGAGAGAGACAGAGACAACGAGAGCGAGAGUAAUGAGAGUCGUCGCCUGAGUAACGCUUGGAUCUUUAAAAAGAAAACCCUUACAGAAUCACCCACCAACCAAGGACCAAGCGGCGUGGUAAACAGAGGCAGCAGCAACAGCAGCAGCAGGAGAAGCGACAGGUGCAGCAGGAGCAACAGCAGCAGCAGCAAAGGCAGCAGCAGCAGUGGGAGAGGCUGCACUAUUUGGAUAAAUGGACUUGGGAGGAGAUCCUUGACGGAAAAGGACCCUGGGCAGAGCCAGGGGAAUAUUGCCGCCCCAAAGCCGAGCUGGAGGCAGCGAAAGCAGAGGCGGCGUUAUGAGGAGCUAGCACGGCAGAGCGGCUGGAAGCCCGAGAGGCACCCCCAAAAAUGUAUUGGGGGGGGCACAGGGAGAGUGUGGCAGAGUCAGGAGUCGGACCUGAGCCAACUCCCCCUGUUUACCGUAAGGAGCCAUGGAUGGAAUUGGAGCUGUCGGUGAAGCUGAGUCUGAGAGUGUGGAGGAUGUAUUGGACAGAGUAGAAAGAAAACUGUUGGUUUGGCAUAGUAUGCACGGCAUACAAGUGCCAGCACCACGCAUCAGGCCUACAGUGCGUCCCGCCUGUCCAGCGCUGCCGGAGCCUUCCUCCUCUCCAGCGCAGCCAGAGUCUCCCGCCUGUCCGGCGCUGUCAGAGCUACCGCCCCUCAUGCCAGAGGCGCCAGAGCCCCUCAUUCCAGAGGCACCAGUGCUCCUCAGUCCAGCGCUGCCAGAGCCUUUUUCUCCAGUCUGCCCAGCGCCGGUGUUAGUCAUGGUCUCUGAUUGGGAACCAUAUUUAGGUAGCCUGUUUUGUGUUGGGUUUUGUGGGUGAUUGUUCCUGUCUCUGUGUUUGCACCAGAUAGGACUGUUUAGGUUUUCACUUUUCUUGUUUUGUAUAGUCGGUUCAUGUAUAGUCGUCUUUAUUAAAAACAUGAAUAACCACCACCCUGCAUUUUGGUCCGCCUCUCUUUCACCAGAAGAAAACCCUUACAGUUAUUUUAUCACUGAAUAAUAAAAUAUGUUAAUAACUCUAUUACUAAUGAACUUGUUAAAUUAUUGGCUUUUUAAUUGUCUGCCCAAUGCAAUCGCAAAGUAGUCAAGACUGUCUAAACGUUUUGACACCUGAGACUGCAUGAAAAUAAAUCUUAAUCACCAAAGCUUGUCAUGCCUGCUCCCGCUCGAGCACCAGGCUGCCCAGCAUUAUGCACUCCUGCCACCAUCAUUUACGCACUCCUGCCUCCCUCGUCACGCGCUUCAGCGAUAUUGGACUCACCUGGACUCACUUAACCUCUAGUGACUCCCAAACCUGCAUGUCCGGCGUCGGUCUUUACAAAGCUUUAUUCACAUAUCAAGUCUGAGAGGAGUAAAACAGUGAGCUGACAUUCCCUCUUUAUCUAUGCAUUGUCGAUCCUCUGGGUUGGGUUGGCACCCCCCUUGGGUUGUGCCGUGGCGGAGAUCUUUGGGCUAUACUUGGCCUUGUCUCAGGAUGGUAAGUUGGUGGUUGAAGAUAUGCAUCUAGUGGUGUGGGGGCUGUGCUUUGGCAAAGUGGGUGGGGUUAAAACCUGCCUGUUUGGGGGUAUCAUCAGAUGGGGCCACAGUGUCUCCUGACACCUGUCUCAGCCUCCAAUAUUUAUGCUGCAGUGGUUUGUGUCGGAGGGCUAGGGUCAGUUUGUUGUAUCUGGAGUAUUUCUCCUGUCUAAUUUAUUUUAUUUAACUAGGCAAGUCAGUUAAGAACAAAUUCUUAGUUUCAAUGACAGCCUAGGAACAGUGGGUUAACUGCCUUGUUCAGAGGCAGAAUUACAGAUUUGUACUUUGUCCACUCAGGGAUUUGAACUUGCAGCUUUUCAGUUACUAGUCCAAUGCUCUAACCACUAGGCUACGCUUCCGCCCCAGCGUAGCCUAGUGGUGUAC